GGGUCUGUAGCUUAAAUGGAAAAGCAAUUGGUUUGCAACUAAUUAGAUGUGGGUUCAAGUCCCACCGGUGUCCA
This 74-nucleotide transfer RNA is filed under the name Promethearchaeota archaeon. Its description in RNAcentral is "Candidatus Lokiarchaeota archaeon (permafrost metagenome) tRNA-Ala". It matches the Rfam family "tRNA". From Rfam's summary of the family: Transfer RNA (tRNA) molecules are approximately 80 nucleotides in length. Their secondary structure includes four short double-helical elements and three loops (D, anti-codon, and T loops). Further hydrogen bonds mediate the characteristic L-shaped molecular structure. tRNAs have two regions of fundamental functional importance: the anti-codon, which is responsible for specific mRNA codon recognition, and the 3' end, to which the tRNAs corresponding amino acid is attached (by aminoacyl-tRNA synthetases). tRNAs cope with the degeneracy of the genetic code in two manners: having more than one tRNA (with a specific anti-codon) for a particular amino acid; and 'wobble' base-pairing, i.e. permitting non-standard base-pairing at the 3rd anti-codon position. Lineage: Archaea; Promethearchaeati; Promethearchaeota. The record is from RNAcentral.